RNAcentral lists this ribosomal RNA (465 nucleotides) under Vreelandella stevensii. RNAcentral's name for it is "partial 16S ribosomal RNA". It matches the Rfam family "Bacterial small subunit ribosomal RNA", at positions 338 to 795 of the family's 1533-position model. Lineage: Bacteria; Pseudomonadati; Pseudomonadota; Gammaproteobacteria; Oceanospirillales; Halomonadaceae. The record is from RNAcentral.
CCUACGGGUGGCUGCAGUGGGGAAUAUUGGACAAUGGGCGAAAGCCUGAUCCAGCCAUGCCGCGUGUGUGAAGAAGGCCUUCGGGUUGUAAAGCACUUUCAGUGGGGAAGAAAGCCUUGGGGCUAAUACCCUCGAGGAAGGACAUCACCCACAGAAGAAGCACCGGCUAACUCCGUGCCAGCAGCCGCGGUAAUACGGAGGGUGCGAGCGUUAAUCGGAAUUACUGGGCGUAAAGCGCGCGUAGGCGGUCUGAUAAGCCGGUUGUGAAAGCCCCGGGCUCAACCUGGGAACGGCAUCCGGAACUGUCAGGCUAGAGUGCAGGAGAGGAAGGUAGAAUUCCCGGUGUAGCGGUGAAAUGCGUAGAGAUCGGGAGGAAUACCAGUGGCGAAGGCGGCCUUCUGGACUGACACUGACGCUGAGGUGCGAAAGCGUGGGUAGCGAACAGGAUUAGAUACCCGGGUAGUC